CAGUAGCCGCGGGAAUACGUAGGUGGCAAGCGUUGUCCGGAAUUAUUGGGCGUAAAGCGCGCGCAGGCGGAUGGGUCAGUCUGUCUUAAAAGUCCGGGGCUUAACCCCGUGAUGGGAUGGAAACUGCCAAUCUAGAGUAUCGGAGAGGAAAGUGGAAUUCCUAGUGUAGCGGUGAAAUGCGUAGAUAUUAGGAAGAACACCAGUGGCGAAGGCGACUUUCUGGACGAAAACUGACGCUGAGGCGCGAAAGCCAGGGGAGCGAACGGGAUUAGAUACCCGCGUAGUCCCUGUCUCUUAUACC
This 301-nucleotide ribosomal RNA is filed under the name uncultured bacterium. Its description in RNAcentral is "partial 16S ribosomal RNA". It matches the Rfam family "Bacterial small subunit ribosomal RNA", at positions 509 to 808 of the family's 1533-position model. The record is from RNAcentral.